Molecule: long non-coding RNA, 1996 nt
Organism: Magnolia sinica
Lineage: Eukaryota; Viridiplantae; Streptophyta; Magnoliopsida; Magnoliales; Magnoliaceae
Exons: 7
Source: RefSeq, a predicted model, not a curated record
GUCCAUGUCUAAUACCUUUUGAUAUUGCAUCUUAUCUCUUCAAUUUUCUGUAAAAUCUGCACAUAUGGGUAUGUCAAAUUUCUGAACUUGUGGUGUGAGGAGGUUCUUUUUGUAUUAUUGCUUGGGCCUCGAGGAAAGUUUUGGGUUUAUGAAAACCGUUAUGAGAUUCAAGAUCUAGGUGGUCAGUUUGGGAGGAAAGGUACACCAGAUUUUUUCGCAAUGAGAGCAAGACAACGGAUUUGAUCUCCCAAAGGGCAAGUUUCGUAAUUAUUGAGUGGGCCUCUAAAAUUGAUUGUUACUUCUCUAUCUGUUCUUUAUCUGUACAUCAGUGAGAUUUUGUGCCAGGUUUGUUUGAUUUGCUUAUGCAGACAUACAAAGUACUUGUUCUCUUUCUGACCCUCCUGGAUUACUGGUCCAUAUGCCCUCCUAUGAAUUUCUGGAAGAAAGGAAUCCAUUAAGAUUGUUGGACUAGGGAUCAACGGAACAUUGGGUCUCCAGCUAUCAAGCCUCCUCUCACUGAAAUAUUUGAGAAGGCUACCAAUGCUAUGAUGCUUGCGUCAAGCGCUGUCAAAUGGGUCAUGGGCCCAACUGCCAUAGUUGUCACAUUUCCCAAAGAAGUUGGCCUGCCCAGCAUAUUUGACUCUAAGCCAUGCAGACACGGAUUCCAGCUGCCUCAACUUUAGCUACUAUGUUGGAUGGUCCUUCAUCCAUUUUUCUGCGAGUAGCAGAAUACAAAGAAUCCACAAAACAUGGACCUUUUACUACUCUUUCAAGCUCCCUCGGUUAAAUUCUAAUGCAGCUUCAUACAGGCUUACUAUACUUGAUUCGUCAUGAAACGCAUAGUGGAUUGUUGGCGUCCUCAUUCAAAGUUCUCAUGCUUCUGAUUGCUGCCACUCCGUAUGGUUUCGCCUUUAAAUGAGAUUUUUGUUUUGAUUGAAGUUUCUCUUAUCAUCUGUACACACUACUCGGCAGAUUUGUAUUGGAUUUUAUCAUGUUUAUGUUUUGUGGCACCCUAUCAUAUUCGAUUAUUUUUCUUUUGUAUAUUGUUAGCAUCUUUUAUCUACUCAUUGCACUACCUAUUGCACUGUACAUUCCCAGUCACUAUACUUCUCCUACCCUUCUCAGAAUCAUCUGUUUAAUGUAAUUUUCUUAUCAGAUCAUCACAGCUUAUGCUAAUCUUGAGAUGCUAAGAUGGCGUAAUGAGUUCUCUGAAACACCAUUACACAUGUUUUUCAAACAAGAUUUAUCUCAAUUUACUUUUGGAUUAAUUAGGCUUUCUUUUGUUUGCACAUGAACUUGGGGUUUAAAUCUGAAGUAAUAUCAAAAUGUGUUCUAUGAAUAUUCUUUGAAGAAUUAUUUUAGAACAUUUUAACAAUCUUUGAUGUUGUUCACUUAAAUAUUGUCUAUUUUCUAGGUAUUCUGAAAAUGAUGUGCUUUAGAGUUUCUCCACAAGUCAUUAAAAGAUGCCAAAUUUCUGUUCUUUUUCAAAAUGUUGUAAUAUUUGGAUUGAUUUUCUUCUUCUAAACAUGGCGUUAAAGCAGAGGCUCGACGCGCAUAAAGGGCAGGGUGAAGAACUGAAGGAAGCAGUAAGGAAUAUGUUUAGCACAGUCAAUGAUCCAUUGCUCAUUGCUUUGAAUUUGAAUUAUGUUGCAUAGUAGAGAUGAAUUGGGAAAGCAAUUGGUUACUAUGGAUGGUUGUAGUGUGGUUCAUGUGUUACCAUAGCUUCAAUUCUCUUUGAAAGAUGUGUCAUGAUUAGAAACUCCUGCUUAUUUGCCAAUCCGACUAUCAGAUUGGUGGACACUGAUUGGAUGUUCAUCCAUUGGUCCUACUUAUACAAACAAACGUCCACCAAUCAUAGAUUAGGACUUUUCACCAUAUCUAAUUUUUGGGACUGAUUAGAAAAAAGUGAAUUCCACAUUUUACUCGUUUUAGUCUGAAACAAUGUGUGCCACAUGUACAAUUUCCUCAUACUAGAGUAACAUAAACCUGUCCACUG